RNAcentral lists this ribosomal RNA (406 nucleotides) under uncultured bacterium. RNAcentral's name for it is "partial 16S ribosomal RNA". It matches the Rfam family "Bacterial small subunit ribosomal RNA", at positions 30 to 526 of the family's 1533-position model. The record is from RNAcentral.
AUUGAACGCUGGCGGCAGGCCUAACACAUGCAAGUCGAACGAGUGGCGGACGGGUUAGUAAUGUCUGGGCAACUGCCUGAUGGAGGGGGAUAACUACUGGAAACGGUAGCUAAUACCGCAUCCCAUCGGAUGUGCCCAGAUGGGAUUAGCUAGUCGGUGGGGUAAAAGCUCACCUAGGCGACGAUCCCUAGCUGGUCUGCGAGGAUGACCAGCCACACUGGAACGGAGACACGGUCCAGACUCCUACGGGAGGCAGCAGUGGGGAAUAUUGCACAAUGGGCGCAAGCAUGAUGCAGCCAUGCCGAGUGUAUGAAGAAGGCGUUCGGGUUGUAAAGGACUUUCAGCGGGGAGGCGUUACCCGCAGAAGAAGCACCGGCUAACUCCGUGCCAGCAGCCGCGGUAAUAC